ACUGCUCAGUAACACGUGGAUAACCUACCCUUGAGACGGGGAUAAACCCGGGAAACUGGGUAUAAUACCCGAUAGAUCUCGGACGCUGGAAUGCAUCGAGAUCGAAGGCUCCGGCGCUCAAGGAUGGAUCUGCGGCCUAUCAGGUAGUAGUGGGUGUAGCGUACCUACUAGCCUACGACGGGUACGGGUUGUGAGAGCAAGAGCCCGGAGAUGGAUUCUGAGACACGAAUCCAGGCCCUACGGGGUGCAGCAGGCGCGAAAACUUUACAAUGCUGGAAACAGCGAUAAGGGGACCUCGAGUGCCAGGUUACAAAUCUGGCUGUCGUGAUGCCUAAAACGCAUUGCAUAGCAAGGGCCGGGCAAGACCGGUGCCAGCCGCCGCGGUAACACCGGCGGCUCGAGUGGUAACCGUUAUUAUUGGGUCUAAAGGGUCUGUAGCCGGCCGGAUAAGUCGCUUGGGAAAUCUGGCAGCUUAACUGUCAGGCUUUCAGGAGAUACUGUCUGGCUCGAGGCCGGGAGAGGUGAGAGGUACUUCAGGGGUAGGGGUGAAAUCUUGUAAUCCUUGAAGGACCACCAGUGGCGAAGGCGUCUCACCAGAACGGACCUGACGGCAAGGGACGAAAGCUAGGGGCACGAACCGGAUUAGAUACCCGGGUAGUCCUAGCCGUAAACGAUACUCGCUAGGUGUCGGCCACGGUGCGACCGUUGUCGGUGCCGUAGGGAAGCCGUGAAGCGAGCCACCUGGGAAGUACGGCCGCAAGGCUGAAACUUAAAGGAAUUGGCGGGGGAGCACCACAACGGGUGGAGCUUGCGGUUUAAUUGGAGUCAACGCCGGG
RNAcentral lists this ribosomal RNA (836 nucleotides) under uncultured archaeon. Its description in RNAcentral is "bacterial SSU rRNA". It matches the Rfam family "Archaeal small subunit ribosomal RNA", at positions 85 to 922 of the family's 1478-position model. The record is from RNAcentral.